Bradysia coprophila is the source of this 257-nucleotide long non-coding RNA. RefSeq lists it as uncharacterized. The record is from RefSeq and is a predicted model, not a curated record. Lineage: Eukaryota; Metazoa; Arthropoda; Insecta; Diptera; Sciaridae.
CUACAGAAAUCGUUUAAAAGCAUCGUUUAUUGCAGAAACGGCAUGCUUAUCAUUUUCCCAGACGGCAAGAUCGCAUCUACCAUAAAGGCAAUAUUGUCGAUAUGAAGUCGUACAUCGCAAUUGUGCUAAUAGUUUUAGUGGUAGCAAUGAUGGAGUUAAUCAGUGCACGGCCUCAGCCGGCGGAUCAUACUCGUGGCAAUUACUAUCCGGCUAUUGGCGUAUACUAUCCAGGUAUACCAUGGUUUGGCAAAUGACCA